GACGAACGCUGGCGGCGUGCUUAACACAUGCAAGUCGAACGGAAAGGCCCUGCUUUUGUGGGGUGCCCGAGUGGCGAACGGGUGAGUAACACGUGAGUAACCUGACCUUGACUUUGGGAUAACUUCAGGAAACUGGGGCUAAUACCGGAUAGGAGCCCCCGCUGCAUGGUGGGGGUUGGAACGUUUAGGCGGUUGGGGAUGGACGCGCGGCUUACCAGUUUGUUGGUGGGGUAGUGGCAUACCAAGGCAUUGACGGGUAGGCGACAUGGGAGGGUGACCGGCCACAUGAGUCCUGAGAUACGGCCCAGUGGCCUACGGGAGGCAGCGGUGGGAAAUAUUGCACAAUGGGCGCAAGCCGGAGGCAGAAACGCCGCGGGCGGAAAGACGGCCUUCUGGGUGAAAACCGCUUUCGCCUGUUACGAAGCGGGAGUGACGGUAAUGGGUAAAGAAGCACCGGCUAACUACGUG
Molecule: ribosomal RNA, 468 nt
Filed under: uncultured bacterium
Lineage: Bacteria
Description: partial 16S ribosomal RNA
Rfam family: Bacterial small subunit ribosomal RNA
Source: RNAcentral